GCCGGGCGUGGUGGUGGGCGCCUGUAAUCCCAGCUCCUCGGGAGGCUGAGGCAGGAGAAUUGCUUGAACCCAGGAGACGGAGGUUGCAGUGAGCUGAGUUUGUGUCACUGCACUCCAGCCUGGGUGACAGAGCAAGACUCUAUCUCAA
This 148-nucleotide non-coding RNA is filed under the name Chlorocebus sabaeus (green monkey). The record is from Rfam by way of RNAcentral. Lineage: Eukaryota; Metazoa; Chordata; Mammalia; Primates; Cercopithecidae.